RNAcentral lists this transfer RNA (71 nucleotides) under Endocarpon pusillum. It matches the Rfam family "tRNA". Rfam says of the family: Transfer RNA (tRNA) molecules are approximately 80 nucleotides in length. Their secondary structure includes four short double-helical elements and three loops (D, anti-codon, and T loops). Lineage: Eukaryota; Fungi; Ascomycota; Eurotiomycetes; Verrucariales; Verrucariaceae. The record is from Rfam by way of RNAcentral. RNAcentral also lists the same sequence under 1 other name.
UUCUUAUUAGCUCAAUGGCAGAGCAGAAUACUUCUAAUAUUUGGAUCCAGGUUCGAGUCCAGGAUAAGAAU